GACGAACGCUGGCGGCGUGCUUAACACAUGCCAGUCGAACGGAAAGGCCCUGCUUUUGUGGGGUGCUCGAGUGGCGAACGGGUGAGUAACACGUGAGUAACCUGCCCUUGACUUUGGGAUAACUUCAGGAAACUGGGGCUAAUACCGGAUAGGAGCUCCUGCUGCAUGGGGGGGGUUGGAAAGUUUCGGCGGUUGGGGAUGGACUCGCGGCUUAUCAGCUUGUUGGUGGGGUAGUGGCUUACCAAGGCUUUGACGGGUAGCCGGCCUGAGAGGGUGACCGGCCACAUUGGGACUGAGAUACGGCCCAGACUCCGACGGGAGGCAGCAGUGGGGAAUAUUGCACAAUGGGCGGAAGCCUGAUGCAGCAACGCCGCGUGCGGGAUGACGGCCUUCGGGUUGUAAACCGCUUGCGCCUGUGACGAAGCGUGAGUGACGGUAAUGGGUAAAGAAGCACCGGCUAACUACGUG
Molecule: ribosomal RNA, 468 nt
Filed under: uncultured bacterium
Lineage: Bacteria
Description: partial 16S ribosomal RNA
Rfam family: Bacterial small subunit ribosomal RNA
Source: RNAcentral